RNAcentral lists this transfer RNA (72 nucleotides) under Planctomycetota bacterium. Its description in RNAcentral is "tRNA-Thr". It matches the Rfam family "tRNA". From Rfam's summary of the family: Transfer RNA (tRNA) molecules are approximately 80 nucleotides in length. Their secondary structure includes four short double-helical elements and three loops (D, anti-codon, and T loops). RNAcentral also lists the same sequence under 1 other name. Lineage: Bacteria; Pseudomonadati; Planctomycetota. The record is from RNAcentral.
GCCAACGUAGCUCAAUGGUAGAGCUCUGGUUUUGUAAACCAGCGGUUGUCGGUUCGAAUCCGACCGUUGGCU